Vigna umbellata (rice bean) is the source of this 552-nucleotide non-coding RNA. Lineage: Eukaryota; Viridiplantae; Streptophyta; Magnoliopsida; Fabales; Fabaceae. The record is from RefSeq and is a predicted model, not a curated record.
AAUUUAAACUUUAGUCCAUUUAGGAGAAUUUUUUUUUAUUAUUUGUUAAAUCAAAUAUGGUAAUUUGUGCUGUUUAAUUAUGAGUAUUGCAUAUAUUUUCAGCUAAACCCUCUAUUCUAUAUUGUUUUGCUACUAAUGUCAGGGAAAUCAAGCAUAUAAAGAUAGGCAGUGGCAGAAAGCCAUUGGAUUUUACACAGAAGCUAUCAAACUCUGUAGUGAUAAUGCAACGUACUAUAGUAACAAGGCUCAAGCGUAUCUAGAACAUGGAAGUUAUCUUCAAGCUGAGGCCGAUUGUACCAAGGUAAUUAGUCUCGACAAAAAGGUGUCUUCCUUAAAAAAAACAUUGUGCAUGAAUUUUGUCAUCGUAGUCUUGCAAAAGCUUGUGUUCAUUCCAAAUAUGAUCCUUACAGAAGUUUGUCUUCAUCACCGUAAGCAUCAACUAAAGGUUGAAAGCAAUGGAAGCACAGAAGUCUACUAACAAUGACUUGUUGGGCAUACUCUUGGAAUCAAAUUAUAUUUUAAAUUGCCAAUGAAUAUAUUUUUAUAUUUACA